RNAcentral lists this transfer RNA (77 nucleotides) under Vibrio vulnificus. RNAcentral's name for it is "tRNA-Arg". It matches the Rfam family "tRNA", at positions 15 to 71 of the family's 71-position model. Rfam says of the family: Transfer RNA (tRNA) molecules are approximately 80 nucleotides in length. Their secondary structure includes four short double-helical elements and three loops (D, anti-codon, and T loops). Further hydrogen bonds mediate the characteristic L-shaped molecular structure. tRNAs have two regions of fundamental functional importance: the anti-codon, which is responsible for specific mRNA codon recognition, and the 3' end, to which the tRNAs corresponding amino acid is attached (by aminoacyl-tRNA synthetases). tRNAs cope with the degeneracy of the genetic code in two manners: having more than one tRNA (with a specific anti-codon) for a particular amino acid; and 'wobble' base-pairing, i.e. permitting non-standard base-pairing at the 3rd anti-codon position. The record is from RNAcentral. Lineage: Bacteria; Pseudomonadati; Pseudomonadota; Gammaproteobacteria; Vibrionales; Vibrionaceae.
GUGUUAUCGUUUGAAACCAUAAAACCACAUCCCUUCUAAGGAUGUGGUCGUAGGUUCGAAUCCUACAGGGCGUGCCA